ACCUGAAAUUUCGGUUUGAAGGGUGGGGCAGCCUA
RNAcentral lists this small RNA (35 nucleotides) under Bombyx mori (domestic silkworm). RNAcentral describes it as "ovarian small RNA-11382". Lineage: Eukaryota; Metazoa; Arthropoda; Insecta; Lepidoptera; Bombycidae. The record is from RNAcentral.